CGCUGCAUCAACCCGGCAUGCAGCAGCAGUAGCAGGCUGUGCUUUGGGAUCCAUUGUUCCAUGUUUUUCCACAGCCGGAGCGUAUUCCUUUCCAUUAAAACACCACGGCAGAACAAGCAAAGAGAAGAACAGAAACAUUAGGAGAUCUCAGCUUUGUCUGGUCAGGAUUAUUUCUAUUUGGGAACAUUGUUGUGGACAAAGGAGGAACCACACUUCAGCUCUUUGCUGUUGUCCAGGCUUGCAAUUGACUGCAUUGGGAAGUACGCUCUGGCAGUGUGGUGGCCAUGGGGCUGCCUGGUGGAGCUCGACUUGUGCUGGGGGUUUUAAAACAACCAGCGUGCCUCUUCAUCUGGAGGUUAUCGCUACUUUUCUUCUCCAUGUGGGCACUUGAUGCACAAACCACUGUAGAAACUAAACCCUUAUACAUCUGGCAAACAGGUCCUUGGGGUCGAUGUAUGGGAAGUGAGUGUGGACCUGGCGGCAGCCAGAGCAGAGCAGUAUGGUGCGCCCAUUCUGAAGGCUGGACCACCCUCCAUACAAACUGUGACCAGUCAGAGAGGCCAGACAACCAGCAGAGCUGCUUCAGAGUGUGUGACUGGCACAAAGAUCUGUACGAAUGGCAGCUGGGUGCUUGGAACCAGUGUGUCCCAGUGAUGAUGCGCAGUGCUGGGUUGCAGCGGCCAACAGUGUGCACACGGGGAGAGGAGGGCAUUCAGACACGGGAAGUGGGCUGUGUUCAGAAAUCUGAUGGCGAGCCUGCGGAGGACGUAAUUUGUGAAUACUUUGAACCUAAACCAAGGCAGGAACAGGCCUGUCUCAUAGCGUGUCCUCGGGACUGUGUGGUGUCUGAGUUCAGCCCGUGGACUUCAUGUUCUAAAACAUGUGGGAUUGGCUUACGGAAUCGGAUACGCUUUGUUCUGGCACCACCACUGUUUGGUGGGUCUGCCUGUCCAAAUUUGACUGAAUUUCAGACGUGUCAGCCUGGCCUGUGUGAGGGAGAGGAAAACCUUUACAGCCUCAGAGUUGGACCAUGGGGCUCCUGUUCUGUACCUUUGCCAAGGAUAGCCAGACAAGCUGAAAAACCACCCAAGGAGAGCAACAAGAGAUCUAGAGAAAGUGACAAAUCUGCUAAAGAGGGCAGCAAACAGCCAAGAGAUGGUGAAACACCAUCCAGAGGAGGUGACAAACAGGCCAGAGAAGACAGCAAACAGUCCAUGAAAGAAAGAAAAAAGAUGAGAGAUGAUGAAAAACAGUACCAAGAAAAGGACAUAAAGUCCACAGAAGGUGAGGAGAAAAUGUCCAAAAAUGGCAACAAACCAUCUUUGAGCAACAGAAAAUUGGUCAGAGCAAACAGAAAACAGGGCAAGACAUUCAGACAGGCAGACCGACCCAAAAGACAGAAAAAGAUAAAAAACAAGGCAAAAAAAGAGAAAAUGAGAGAAAAAGGCAAAGGAAGAUUAAGGGAAAAGGGGAAAACAAAAGACCCAGAGACCAGAGAGCUAAUCAAAAAGAAGAGGAACAAGAAUCGCCAGAACCGCCCAGGAGGAAAAUUCUGGGAUCUGCAAGUUGGCUACCAAACCAGAGAAGUGACCUGUGUUCACAAGAGUGGGACCAUUGAAGCUCUGAGCCUUUGUUCUCAGGAGAUGCUGCCAGUGACCUUUCAGGCCUGCGUGAUUCCCAGAGACUGUGAUGUGACUGAGUGGUCUGGAUGGUCAGCUUGCUCCAAGCAGUGCUACGACCCCAAUGGGGCGAAAGGGGAGCGCAGUCGCAGUAGGAAAGUGAGCCAAUUCCCAAUCGGUGGAGGAGUGGAGUGCCCAGAACUUGAAGAAAAAGAGCCGUGCAGCCCCCAGGACGGAGCGGUUCCUCCAUGCACUGUCUACACCUGGAAAACAACAGAGUGGACAGAGUGUAGGGUGGACAUGCUGCUGAGCCAGCAGGAUCGUCGGCGUGGAAACCUGACAGGCUUGUGUGGAGGGGGAAUCCAGACACGCGAGGUCUACUGUGUGCAGGCCAGUGCUGUUGCUCCACCUAAUCUCAGUUCACUGAGGAGUAGAGAAGGUUUGCGGCCAGUGGACAGUGAACUGUGUUUGGGGCUUCCUCCGAAUACCACACAGCUCUGCCAUAUCAGCUGCCCUGUGGAGUGUGAGGUGUCUUUGUGGAGCGCUUGGGGACCUUGCACUUAUGAGAACUGUCAAGACCAAACCACUAAGAAAGGUUUUAAACUGAGGAAGCGAAGGAUCAUCAAUGAGCCAACAGAUGGGACAGGAAAUUGUCCUCAUCUAGUGGAGGCCAUACCGUGUGAAGACCCCAGCUGCUUCGAGUGGCUCGUGGUUAAACUGGAGGAAUGUGUCCCUGACAAUGAGAUGGAGUGUGGUCCUGGUACGCAAAUUCCCCAAGUCCAGUGUAUCAACAGUGAUAGUGAAAAAGUGGAGGAGCAGCUUUGCCGGGAUGCCAUUCUUCCAAUGCCUACCAUCUGUGAGGUGCCUUGCUCCAAGGACUGCGCUCUAAGCCCUUGGACUCCCUGGUCAUUUUGCUCCCACACCUGCUCUGGAAAAAACACAGAGGGGAAGCAGACCCGAGUGCGUUCCAUACUUGCUCAUAACGCAGGAGAAGGAGGACUCCAGUGUCCCAAUGUCAGUGCACUGCAAGAGACGAGGAACUGCAAUGAGCAUCCAUGCACUGUGUAUCAUUGGCAAACGGGUUCCUGGGGGCAAUGCAUCGAGGACUCUUCAGGUCCGAACACUAACACGUCUUUGGGGAGAACGCGCGGCGAUGACAUCUCAUGCUCAGUGGGAAUGCAAACCCGGAAAGUCAUUUGUGUCCGGGUCAAUGUGGGCCAAGUUCCUCCUAAAAAGUGUCCAGAGAGUCUCCGUCCAGACACUGUAAGGCCGUGCCUGCUUCCCUGCAAAAGAGAUUGUACUGUCACCCCAUACAGCGACUGGAGCCUCUGCCCCCCGGCGUGUCAAACAGGUGAAAAGACUAAGAGUAAGCAGUACAGGAAGCGGAUGAUCAUUCAGUUACCAGCUAAUGGAGGACAGGACUGUCCUGAGAUUCUGAGUCAGGAAAGAGAGUGUGAAGCACCAUCUGUCUGUCAUGGCUACAGAUGGAAAACCCACAAGUGGCGUAGAUGUCAGCUCGUUCCAUGGUCUGUCCGACAGGACACUCCAGGAGCUCAGGAGACCUGCGGUCCAGGCAUUCAAUUUCGAGCCGUUUCUUGCCGAAAGCUGGACGGUGGGCAGGCAGACGUUGAGGUUUGUCUCAAGCUUGCCAGCCCCAUGCCUGUUCUCACUCAGCUGUGCCAUCUUCCAUGUCAAGAUGACUGUCAGCUCAGUAGCUGGUCCAAGUUUUCUACCUGCACAGCUGACUGUGUGGGCGUCAGAACCCGCAAGAGGAUACUAGUAGGAAAAAGCAAAAAGCGUGAUCAGUGCAAAAACAACCAGAUGUAUCCUCUGAGUGAGACGCAGUACUGUCCAUGUAAUAAAUACAACGCCCAGCCUGUGGGCAACUGGUCAGACUGUAUUAUCCCUGAGGGCAGUCGCAUGGAGAGCCAGCCUGGUGUGAGGGUGCAGGGAGACAUGAAGGAGUGUGGCCAAGGAUAUCGCUACCAAGCCAUGGUGUGCUAUGACCAGGACAACCGCAUAGUGGAAACGUCUCGCUGCAACAGUCAUGGUUAUAUCGAGGAGGCUUGUAUCAUCCCCUGUCCAUCUGACUGCAAAUUAAGUGAAUGGUCCAACUGGUCACGCUGUAGCAAGUCAUGUGGCAGUGGGGUCAAAGUUCGCUCUAAGUGGCUCAGAGAAAAGCCAUACAAUGGUGGAAGACCUUGUCCCAAACUGGACCAUGUGAACCAGGCUCAAGUGUAUGAGGUGGUGCCCUGCGUCAGUGACUGUGGACAGUAUGUCUGGGUGACAGAACCUUGGAGUGUAUGGAAGGUCAGCAGUGUGGACCUGAAGAGUAACUGUGGUGAAGGUGUGCAGACCCGAAAGAUCAGGUGUAUGCUCAACACAAUAGAUGGCCCAUCAGAGCAGGUGGAGGACUACCUCUGUGACCCAGAAGAGAUGCCUCUGGGAGCCCGGAACAGUCGCCUGCCCUGCCCUGAGGACUGUGUGCUGUCAGACUGGGGAGCCUGGAGCGCAUGUCCUCUGCCCUGCAGUGAGAACAGUACACGGGUCAGGGUUACUUUCCCACUCCGGAAGCCAGGAAAGGAGAAGAAAUGUCCUCCGACUAAAGAAGCUGAACCGUGUAAACUCAACAUCAACUGCUUUCACUACUCAUACAACAUCACAGACUGGAGCACCUGUCAACUCAGUGACAGAGCUGUUUGUGGAUAUGGCCUCAAAACCCGCAUGCUUGACUGUGUGCGAAGUGAUGGAAAAUCUGUAGACCUCAGUUUUUGUAAAGAGCUGGGUCUAGAACGGAAGUGGCAGAUGAAUGCUUCAUGUGUGGUGGAAUGUCCUGUCAACUGCCAGCUGUCUGAAUGGUCACCAUGGUCGGAGUGUACACACACCUGUGGCUUGGCAGGUACACUGUGGAGGACCCGAAGUGUAAUUCAGGCCGCUCAAGGUGAUGGCAGGCCGUGCCCGUCCCAGAUGAAACAAUGGAAGCCUUGUCUAGUAAAGCCAUGCUACAGCUGGCGAUACAGCGCCUGGUCAGACUGCAAGUCAGAUGCUGCGAGGUGUGGGGAAGGCAUGCGCUUCAGGAACGUGUCCUGCUUUGUGUCCGAUGGUUCCGGUCAGCAGGACAGCAGCGUUGUUGAUGAUGAGCUAUGUGGAGAUGUGGAACUUUCAGUGAAUGGAGACAGACUAAUUAUUCUGCAGGAGCUUUGUACUGUCCCCUGCCCAGGAGAAUGCUACCUGACAGAUUGGACUGUCUGGAGUCCAUGUCAGUUAAGCUGUGUGAGUGGGGAUGACCUUGGUUUUGGCUCUAUCCAAGUUCGAUCCAGAGCUGUAGUUGCUCAGGAUCCUGAAAACCUGCUUGAGUGUCCUGAACAAGAACUGGAGGCACGGCCAUGUGCAGGCGGACAGUGUUUUGAAUACAAGUGGAGGACUGGAACAUGGAGAGGUUCGUCCCGUCAUGUCUGGUGCCAGCGCUCUGAUGGGAUGAAUGUCACAGGUGGUUGUCUGGCAGCAGCCAAGCCAAUGGCGGAUCGAUCUUGUGAACCUCCUUGUACUAAACCAUGGUCUUUGUGCACAGAGGCAGGUGUGUGUGGCUGUGAAGAGGGCUACACUGAAGUGAUGACAUCUGACGGUGGGUUGGAUCAGUGUACUGUCAUCCCAGUGCUGGAGAUCCCAACUGCAAGUGACAACAAAGCUGACGUGAAGACCAUCCGAGCUUACAACCCCGUCCAGCCUGCAGCCAGCGCCCCGGGCAGAGCAGGGAGAACCUGGUUCCUGCAGCCCUUUGGUCCAGAUGGGACCCUGAAGACUUGGGUGUACGGCGUUGCAGCAGGAGUGUUUGUUUUACUCGUCUUUAUCAUUUCAAUGACAUACUUAGCCUGUUAUUGUGGUCGGUGCCUUUGCCGCAAGUCGAGGUCUGAUUGUCCCUCAGACAGGACUUACUGGACGGAACCAAGCACCUGCACAGUGCUUUACACCUGCCCUGCCUGCCAGAAACUAGAACAAGAUGAGUUCAAUCGGCAGAGCCAGCUCCAUCAGUGUGGUGCACCACUCCAGCAGCCGCCACCUUCACAGCUGGAGCACUCUCUGCCACCACCUCACUUUGAAACUCUUAUCACUUAGUCAGGGACUCACUCACUCCCUGUUGCAUCACUGCACAACCAAACAGCAGGUGCCUUAACACAGAACAGCUUUUGCCUCCCAGUGGAUCCUGUCCUGUGGUGAGCAAAAAGCCAAAGAAGCCACAGCGACGGCAGAUGAACAACAGACUGAAGCCUCUGACUCUGGCCUAUGAUGGAGACGCCGACAUGUAGAAGUCUUCCUCCUUACAGACGUACUGUACAAAAUUCUGUCCUUGCUGGGGAUGCAGGGUUGCUGGUAAUACCCGUUAAUGUCAGGGUCACUACUGGGCAUUGGUCAGCAAAUAUGCAGACUAAGUUUCUGACAGAAAAAGAAACCUCUGAGCUCAAGACACUAUAACUCUGUGUUUAUUAGCAGCUUUGAUGUUUCCAUUUUAACAUUUUAAAUGUAAUUUUUUUUUUAAAGAGCCUUCAUGACUUUACUAUCUUCCUCUGGAAGUCUGCCUUUGCUUUUCUGACAUCUACUACCACCAAUUGCAUUCAGACCAUAUUUAGUGGAGAGGAGGAAACCAGAAGACAUUUGCUACAAAAGCACAAAUACUCAGUCGUUAGUUGUUCAUUUCUUAACAGCUUAGUUGCAUGGUCUUUGCUCCACCUUUUCUCUUGGUCCUUCAAAGAACAUUUUGUCUUCUCUUAGUCAUUGCUUGAUGGACGGAACUGAAAAGUAAAAAUAUCACCAACAAAAGGAAAGCGAGCCCAAAGGAUCCUCGAGCUGCCAUCAUUCUGCCUGCCUCUCCCUUCUUAUUUCCAGGCGUGAUUUUGCACUAUAUUAGUGCAGCAUGAUAUGUACUUAUGUCUCGCUUUGCCAUAUGAAAACUGCCUCUCUCAAUACAAGAUGAUGUACAACUCUUGUGCUAGAAAUGUACAAAAAUACCUUUUUGCUAACAGAACUUAACAAUGUUUGAUAAUUUUUUUGUAAUACCUCUUGUAUGUUGUACAACAGAAUUUUGUAAAUAGAUUUUUCAGUGAUUUCACUUUGGCUAUCUAAUACACAAUUUACUGCUCUAUAUCCAAAACUCUGUUGGAGCCUUUAUUUGAGCUGGUAACUGUGACUUUACAUUAGGAUUUUUGACCAUUUUAGGAAAUUUAAGUUAUAACAAUAAAAUGCCCUUACCCAGCUGAAACUACUAGACUAAAAAUCUCUCACUAAUCUAUACAUUUCUGAUCAAAAUCUUAAGAAAGGGCAACACUGUUUGCAUUUUGUGCUGGUGGUUUGUAACCAGGUUGUCAGCUGGUUUCUAAAUGCAAAAAAAAAAAAAAAAAAAAAACAGGAGCAAGAGAAAAAACAAGCAAUAGAACAUUUUAUUGAAUACAUAGGAAGUUGCUCCACUCAUAUCAGACUUUUUAAACAUUCGUACAUCCCCAAAAGAUUUCUGUGGGAGUCCAUUCAGGAUAAUGUGCAGGAUGAUCCAGGAUGAUCCAAACGAGGCUCUAAAGACAACAAGCUGCUUUCUCAGGUAGCAGAUGGAUGAAACCCCGACCCUUCUGGUCAUACUGACCGUUUAAUGACUCUAGAGCUGUCUUCACCCAGCUAUAUGAAGAACUGCUCAUUCACAUUGGAAGCCAUCAGGUCAAUCUAGUAAUUUUUAUUCUCAUCAGAAAAUGUUAAGAUAUUCAGGCUUUCAAUGGGCUGGCAAAUCUAAAUGGUCAAGUUAGUAGUGUGGGCUUUGAAGACUUUUAUUUUGUUCUUUAAGGCCAUCUCUCAGAAGUCGUCUUUAUGAUGCUGAACUGCAGUCAGAAUUAGUGAGGACCUUUAUUUGAGAAGGAUUAGCUUGUGUCUUCACAGACAACAGAACAUCCAGCUCAUUGCAGGUGAAACCUCUUUAGGUCUACCUUUAGACAUUUUCAUCCCGUAGCGUUUUAGAGGCUUAUAAUGAAUCUCUUAUUACAUCCAGCUUCAGCAGUCAUGUCACUUUGUGAGACAAACUUGCUUGCGCAGCUCAACAAUCCUGCCACAUCCAAAGACAGAACAUCUUCCUACUUUUGUCUUUCUGACAAAAGCAGGAAUACUUUUGUCAGGACGGAACUGAAAAGUAGGAAUACUUUUGUGAGGGGAACUUGACAAUGUAAUGAAAAUGACAUGAAAUACCCAGAUUUUAACUGUUUGAGGCAGGUCUGAACAGGAUCUUAAACUUUUGAUCAUCUGACAAUUAGGUCUGUUUGAGAGCUUAAAUGCAAAUUUACCUCUUUUGCCCACAAUGGUUGAUGAUAACAUGUUGGGCAAAUUCUAUUAUUUGCUCACAAUAAAAAGUCUCUUGCUUCUGUGUUUUAAUGUUGCAUAUUGCUGCUCUUACAGGGCCAUCAUUCACCUUUGCAUGAAAUGUGAAUACUUCAAAAUUCUUUCUUAAUGUUUUAACCAGAAAUGGAUUCCAGUUUCAGUUUUCACAAGUUGUUUUUCUUUUCUUCAUUUUGUUUUUAGAAACAUAGUUGUUUAUCUUUAAUUACCUUUUCUGCUAUUUAAAGGAGACCCAUUAUGCAAAAUGUACUUUUUGAUUCCUGCUACUGGAAUCACAAUCUGCUACUGACGUGGAUAGUAACACUUUAUUUGCAUAAAAGUGACAGCAAUAAAACAGCUCAUUCUGAAAGGAGUUCAAAGUAGGCAGAACUAAACAGGUGAAAUAUCAUUGUCUUAAAAGGAUUUUGUGCAAAAAAUGUAAAGAACAUUGUCUGUUUCACCCAUAGAUCAAUGCUUCUCUAUUCCACUGCCCUGUGUGUUUUACAUGCAUCUUUGUUCCAAAACACCUGAUUCAAAUGAUAGCAUGACCUCCUCUGCAUGUCAUCCAGAGCUGCAGAAGCCUGUUUAUCACCUACUUAUUCCAGUCAGGUAUGUGGCAGAAGGGAAACACCUAUAGCAUGUGGGGCUGGGUCUCUGAGGACCAGGACUAAGAAACACUGCCACACACCCAUCCUAUGUUGUUUAAAGGGAAGCAUAUUAGGUUCUCUCAACCAUCUUUUUCCCACUUUGUACUUUGAAUAAAUACCCAUUUAUACUUCAAUCUGCAUUUAUAAUCUGUCUUUCAAAGAAAUGAAUGCAUUUAGCGCAACAUUUUGUAUGAAAAGACAGACUUUACAGUUUGUAGUAGUAAACUGAUAAAUGACUGAAGCCCAGUUGCAGGUGUUUAAAAAAAUGGAAACACUGGAUGUUAAUGGAGGGGUGUUGUUCUGGUAUUAUUCAUCUUGUAUCAAAGACAGUGUAACCUACAGAAAGCCUUUAUGGGAGGGUUUAUUGUUAAUCUCUGAGAUCCUUCAGUAGACAGAGUGGUAAUUAAUUAAAAAUAACAUGUUGAACAUGUUUUUUUUCUCUUCCAAAUGACAGUGCCCUUAAUUUUAAACAAUAGUUUUAAAAUACGACUCUUUGCAUUCCAAAUGGUCAUCCCCAAAUACUCCAGUAAUCCAAAAUAUAACAAGUCUCUUCGAGGUGGUAGGAAGGAUUUUAUUGUUUUGUGGAAUGUGUACAUGGAAUGUUUAAUUUAUUUUUUUCUAAGCUUAUUAUUUGUAAAUACUGGUUUUAUUCUUAAUUUUAUUUAUUACUAAUGUAACACAAUGUUUCUUUUUGUACUGCACAACAUGUUUCACAUGAAGGCAAUUGAAAGACAAAACAGGAGUGAAUGUGGUUGUAAAAGUGAAAAAGCUACCUUGUAAAAAGUUGCUUCUAAACUUCUCUUUCCUACUGUUUCUUUAUAUGUAUUUGAUUACCUGCUGAUAAUAAACAAUCAAAAAUAUGUUCUGUUAUCUUU
RNA transcript from Xiphophorus couchianus (Monterrey platyfish), 9489 nucleotides. It is a transcript of the gene named thrombospondin, type I, domain containing 7Aa, with no coding region annotated. The record is from RefSeq and is a predicted model, not a curated record. The transcript is spliced from 29 exons. NCBI's taxonomy places the organism in Eukaryota, Metazoa, Chordata, Actinopteri, Cyprinodontiformes, Poeciliidae.